AUGAAAUUUGGAAUGAUAAAAAAGGGAAAGAGGAUACUUUUAUAAUUUUAAAUAGAAGAAAAAUAGAGGAGAAUGGAAGAAAUCGAAUUUGUUCCAACUUUGUUACUUUCCAAUGGAACAGAACAGGGAAUUAAUUAGAAAGAAAUAGAAGUAAUUCUAAAAUUCAAAAUUGGAGUAGCUCACAAAACCUCAACCCUUCCUUUUCUUCGACACUCAUUAUACUUUUUACCCCAUAAAAAUCUCUUCGUUAACUAUUAAGAAACGUACCGCGAUAUUUAUCUACGUAAACGAAGAAAAUUGGAGGAAUCCUUUCCGAAUGAAAAACCCAAUUUUACCACGAGUAUCAAUUCGAGCUUCCCCUAAAUCGCGAAAACAAAAAGCAGGGGAAAAAGGUUUCGAUUCAGGAACCCGGGGUCCCAGUAACUGCGCGAUCAGCCAGAUUUGUUCGCUCGUUCGCAAAAAAAAAAAAAAAGGAGAAAAAAGAAACGAAGAGAGAGAGAGAGAGAGAGGGAGAAAAAGGUUAGAAGCAGAGAAUUCACCUGUUAUCGUCGCGGCCAGGUUGCUCAGCACUUCCGUUUGUUUUCCAGACCCGUUUUCCGAGUCAUCUGGCCGGCUUGUUUGACCGAUUUAAUCCGAGAGAUCGGGCCGGUAACUACGUUAGUUUUAACGAGCCACCAUAAAGGACGAUCGAAAUUUAUAGAAUGGACGGUAAUGGCCGUCCACUUUCCAACUGCAAUCUGGCCACACGGAUCAGAAUUCACUCGAUUCAUUUGAAUUUCCACGCUGUGUCACGAAUAGAAUCCAAAACCAGGUUUCGAAUGGAAUAUUAAUAACCUCGAAUCGAACACACCGGGUAUAUAUCGUUCGUAUUGUAUUUUUAUUUCCAUCCUCUUUUCUUUUCUUUUCUUUUCUUUUUUUUCAAAUCUUGUGCAGGAAUCAAUUUUUCAGAUUCGUCGAAAUUUCGUCCUAUCCUCGUAAACAAUUACACGAUACGUUCAAGUAUUAUUAUAGGUUUAUUCAUCGUGAAAAUUAUCCUUGAAAUAUAAAUUCAUACCUCCGUUAAUUCUCCUUCUCUCUUGAGGAGAUUCACCUUUCGUCGUAAAUUUAAAAUUUUAUUGCAUGGAAUUGCAAUGAUCAUCUUUUUUAGAAAAUUAAUUCUUUAAAAAUAAUCCUAAAAAUACGGAAUUUGAAAAUUAUUUUAUGAGAUAAAUUUAUCAAAAUUUAUUGACAAUAUUCCUAACAUAAUAAUCUCUCAAUCCAACAAAUUUCGUCGUCUUUUAACACGUGAUCAACAUUGUGAUGAUAUGUAAAGCAAAAGGUACGAUUAAUCAUUUUCUAAAAAGAAAAAAUGAAGGUUUGGAUGGAAACGAACGGCCAAAAGUCGCACGAGAUUUUUCGCGCAGUAAAAUGAGCAGAAUUGUAUCGUCUGACCAAGCACGGUUGUUACCACUGAGGCGAGCCUCUCUCUUCUUCCGAUAAAAAAAUACUCCAUAAAGCGUCGUAACUGCGAUUCGACGGAUACAGUCGAAGUGACACUGCUCCGCGCAAAAGUCGUCCCGAUACGAUACGAUAUUCGUUAUGCAUUUCUGUGACUGGAUAUCGGGUCACGCCGAUACGAACCGCGUUGCUCGACGAGUUUAUUAUCGCCACGGGCUCGUUACCAAGCCGAACAACGUUUUUUUUUACGAUUUCGAGAGAGAGAAAGAAAGGAAAGGAGGAAAGAAAAACGAUUAACGAUUUGAUCCGAGCGACCGAGUUACCAAAUAGGGUGCACGGACGACGUGUGAAUCGAGUUGCGCGAUGAUAAAAAUGGACGUUUCGACGCUGUGGAAAAUAUCCAUGGAGGUUUGAUGUUUCAUUUUGCUCCCGCUUUUUCCUUUUUUUUUUUUUUUUUUUUUUUUUUUUUUUUUUUUUUUUGCUUUCGUUCGAUCGCGAUAGAAAUUAGAGGAAGAGUGUUUUUCUACCGAUCUUUCUUUUUUUUUUUUUUAUUUUUCGUUUCGGAGGGAGUUUUUAUUCCGCGUUGAUCCCUUAAUGCUCGAAUUUUUUCUUUUUUUUAAUGGUAAAAGUAUAUAAAAAAUUACGAAUGAAACUGAAUUCCUUCCUGUAUUUUCUGUAGCACAUUAGGAUUUAUAAUUACGAGAAUAUGGAAAACUUUAAAAAUGGUCGUCCCUCGAGUGUGCAACUUGGUAAUUAUGAGAAUUAUUACAGGAUACGGGCCCAAAACUUUUUUACCAAUUACGUUUCUAAUUACGAUAGAGAAUUUCGAGGAAAUUGCUGGCGAAAUUUCUAUAAUUAUUUAAAGCGUUAAAAUAUAUAUAUAUGUAUAUAUACGUCGAGGAAUUUAAUUUCGGGAGAAUUAUUCCCUCGUUACUUUCGUUACGUUUCACCAUCGAGUCGCGAAAUUAUUCUUCUCAUAAGUUAUGCAAAUCAUUCCCAUCUAGUUCUUUGUCGAAAGUUAGUGUCAACAUUUCAACAGUCUUAUUAUUCAAACAACGGUUGAACGAAUGAAAAUGGGUUCGUGAAAAUUCCGGAGUUGAUUUACCGGCAAAUCGUCACCAAAAAUUCGAUCCAUGUAAUGUAAUAAAAUCUGUUCUCUCAUUUAUUCAAAACCCUUCGUUCAACGGCGAACAGAGUGAAAUAAUGCGACGAGAUUCGAGGAGAAAUUCAAUUGUUUUGAUUCAAUGCGAAAAAUCAGCGGGUACGAUUUUUCGACGGAGCCGAAUUGGAAUAUCACAAUUCUCUACAACCGAUAAGAUAAGAACCGAUUUCUAAAAAUUUCGUAUCCCUAAAGAUUCUAAAUCUGUCAAACCGAAUCUCGUGUACAACUUUAGAAACGGAAGAACAUGCAUGUUUUUCAACUCCCACAAAAGUUCACCUCGAUCGAAACCAACGAAAAAAUCGAAACAUCAUUCAAGUAAGGAUAAACUCGAUUCUUCUUCUUCUUCUUCUUCUUCUUCCAACGCUCGAAACGAAUAAUCCUUCAAACAAAUAAUCCGCCAAAUAUUCGAUCGGAAACUCUUCCUCUCGUUCAAGGAAAAAAAAAAAAAAAAAAAAAAGAAACGUUCAAAUCUGCCUGCCAAGCCUGUAACGGUCGGCGAACGCUCGACGCCUGGCACGCAAUUUACGCGUACCCGUCGGCGGAUGGCGUGGCACUGUUAUCAAGCCAAGGGCUCCUCGCCACGAACCCCCAGCCGACGCCUAAGUCGGUGUGCGCAUGCGCGUGCCACACGGUCCCGGAACGAUGAAAAACACUAGCGGGUUCGUGUCUGUGAACGGGCGCGAGCCGUGGACGGCUCUUGGUGUAUGGCGCACUGCCACCUCUACGUCGACGCCGGCAGCACGGUCGGUAACCAGAUUGAGCUCCUCUUCUCUUCGACGAUCAAAAACAGGGCCGGGGACGAGGCGUUGUUUAUAGCGGGCGGAAAGGUCGAGCUCCUGGGUUCCUCCGCUCGGCUUCUAGGCUUAGUUUAGAAUGUUCAGUGGUGUGACCUCGGCCGUACAGACGACUACGUCCAUCGUUGAUUUUUGGGUUCGUGUCCGAGGAUUAUCGAUCGGAUACCCGCCGAUUCAGUAUAUUUUUUUUUCUUCUCUUUUUUCUCCUUUCGAUCGAAGAAGGAUGGAGGGAGAGAAUGUUUUCGUUUUGUUGGUUACUCGUUGGGGAGGGAUGACGAGGAUGUUGGCGUGAAUGCUCGACGCCGACGCAGAUACUACUCGUUAGAAAAACGAGACACUGAUGUUUCGAGCACAAACCAUUUUAAUCCACGGCACGUUGCAGCCGUUGAAACGGGCAGGAGGAGGAGCCCGACCGCUUUCACAGUCACUUAGCGCUUCGAGUAGAGAGCGGGACGGAUAAAGGAAGGGAAGAGAGAGAGACAGAGAGAGAGAGAGGAUGGAAGGGAAAGGGCUAACAGAAGAGCACUUAAACACUCUGACGGUUAAAUUUAAACUGGCCCGUGUUGCGCGAGCUAUCAUCCCCUCGAUGUUGAUCCGCACGAACGGUGCGGCCAGAAAUUACAUCAUCACCACGUCGUCUCCUUUUUCCCCUCCAUUCCUCUUUUCAUCCCUCUUAAGAAUCCUUCCUCUCUCUUUAACUAGUCAGCCAACCAUUUCUCCUGCCUCCAAUCUACGUUAUAUUCAAGAGUGUUCUACUGUGAGUCUACAUUUUGGAUGCACAGGAGGAGAGGAGGCAGAGAAGACUUUCUCACUGUAAAAAUUGUAAUAAAUAUUUGUAUCGAUCGAUGUCAAUGAAUAAAAAAAGAAUUCAAUAAAUUUUCAUCCCCUCUUCGAGCUUCAACUUCCUUUCUUUCCCCAACCAACGCAUGAUUAGUUUUACGUUUCGAAUAAGAAAAAUUUUCUUCUCACACGCUGCACAAGAUAUACGUUUUCUGAAAAGAGAAAGAAAAACUUUUAACUCAUCGAUUUAUUCAAUUUAACAUUGAU
This 4440-nucleotide long non-coding RNA is filed under the name Apis mellifera (honey bee). RNAcentral describes it as "uncharacterized LOC102654662". Lineage: Eukaryota; Metazoa; Arthropoda; Insecta; Hymenoptera; Apidae. The record is from RNAcentral.